RNAcentral lists this ribosomal RNA (1243 nucleotides) under Staphylococcus sp. Its description in RNAcentral is "bacterial SSU rRNA". It matches the Rfam family "Bacterial small subunit ribosomal RNA", at positions 32 to 1242 of the family's 1533-position model. Lineage: Bacteria; Bacillati; Bacillota; Bacilli; Caryophanales; Staphylococcaceae. The record is from RNAcentral.
GGCCAUAUUGGGGGUCUAUACAUGCAGUCGAGCGACAGGAUAAGGAGCUUGCUCCUUUGAAGUUAGCGGCGGACGGGUGAGUAACACGUGGGUAACCUACCUAUAAGACUGGAAUAACUUCGGGAAACCGGAGCUAAUGCCGGAUAACAUAUAGAACCGCAUGGUUCUAUAGUGAAAGAUGGUUUUGCUAUCACUUAUAGAUGGACCCGCGCCGUAUUAGCUAGUUGGUAAGGUAAUGGCUUACCAAGGCGACGAUACGUAGCCGACCUGAGAGGGUGAUCGGCCACACUGGAACUGAGACACGGUCCAGACUCCUACGGGAGGCAGCAGUAGGGAAUCUUCCGCAAUGGGCGAAAGCCUGACGGAGCAACGCCGCGUGAGUGAUGAAGGUUUUCGGAUCGUAAAACUCUGUUAUUAGGGAAGAACAAAUGCGUAAGUAACUGUGCGCAUCUUGACGGUACCUAAUCAGAAAGCCACGGCUAACUACGUGCCAGCAGCCGCGGUAAUACGUAGGUGGCAAGCGUUAUCCGGAAUUAUUGGGCGUAAAGCGCGCGUAGGCGGUUUCUUAAGUCUGAUGUGAAAGCCCACGGCUCAACCGUGGAGGGUCAUUGGAAACUGGGAAACUUGAGUGCAGAAGAGGAAAGUGGAAUUCCAUGUGUAGCGGUGAAAUGCGCAGAGAUAUGGAGGAACACCAGUGGCGAAGGCGACUUUCUGGUCUGUAACUGACGCUGAUGUGCGAAAGCGUGGGGAUCAAACAGGAUUAGAUACCCUGGUAGUCCACGCCGUAAACGAUGAGUGCUAAGUGUUAGGGGGUUUCCGCCCCUUAGUGCUGCAGCUAACGCAUUAAGCACUCCGCCUGGGGAGUACGGACCGCAAGGUUGAAACUCAAAGGAAUUGACGGGGACCCGCACAAGCGGUGGAGCAUGUGGUUUAAUUCGAAGCAACGCGAAGAACCUUACCAAAUCUUGACAUCCUUUGAAAACUCUAGAGAUAGAGCCUUCCCCUUCGGGGGACAAAGUGACAGGUGGUGCAUGGGUUGUCGUCAGCUCGUUGUCGUGAGAUGUUGGGGUUUAAGUCCCGCAACGAGCGCAACCCUUAAAGCUUAGUUUGCCCAUUCAUUUAGGUUGGGCACUCUAGGUUGACCUGCCGAUGACAACCCGGAGGACGGUGGGGAAUGACGUCCAAUUCAUCAUGCCCCCAUUAAUGGAGUUUUGGGGCCUAACCCACCCACCGGGUGGUCGUA